AUUGAACGCUGGCGGCAGGCCUAACACAUGCAAGUCGAACGGUAACAGGAAGAAGCUUGCUUCUUUGCUGACGAGUGGCGGACGGGUGAGUAAUGUCUGGGAAACUGCCUGAUGGAGGGGGAUAACUACUGGAAACGGUAGCUAAUACCGCAUAACGUCGCAAGACCAAAAAGGGGGACCUUCGGGCCUCUUGCCAUCGGAUGUGCCCAGAUGGGAUUAGCUAGUAGGUGGGGUAACGGCUCACCUAGGCGACGAUCCCUAGCUGGUCUGAGAGGAUGACCAGCCACACUGGAACUGGGACACGGUCCAGACUCCUACGGGAGGCAGCAGUGGGGAAUAUUGCACAAUGGGCGCAAGCCUGAUGCAGCCAUGCCGCGUGUAUGAAGAAGGCCUUCGGGUUGUAAAGUACUUUCAGCGGGGAGGAAGGGAGUAAAGUUAAUACCUUUGCUCAUUGACGUUACCCGCAGAAGAAGCACCGGCUAACUCCGUG
This 490-nucleotide ribosomal RNA is filed under the name uncultured bacterium. Its description in RNAcentral is "partial 16S ribosomal RNA". It matches the Rfam family "Bacterial small subunit ribosomal RNA", at positions 30 to 507 of the family's 1533-position model. The record is from RNAcentral.